UCCCUUGCCAUGAUGAUUUGAAGCAGCAC
RNAcentral lists this non-coding RNA (29 nucleotides) under Mus musculus (house mouse). The record is from RNAcentral. Lineage: Eukaryota; Metazoa; Chordata; Mammalia; Rodentia; Muridae.